UACGUAGGGUGCAAGCGUUGUCCGGAAUUAUUGGGCGUAAAGAGCGUGUAGGCGGCUUUACAGGUCCGUUGUGAAAACUCGAGGCUCAACCUCGAGACGCCGGUGGAAACCGUAAAGCUAGAGUCCGGAAGAGGAGAGUGGAAUUCCUGGUGUAGCGGUGAAAUGCGCAGAUAUCAGGAGGAACACCCGUGGCGAAAGCGGCUCUCUGGGACGGUACUGACGCUGAGACGCGAAAGCGUGGGGAGCAAACAGG
Molecule: ribosomal RNA, 253 nt
Filed under: uncultured bacterium
Lineage: Bacteria
Description: partial 16S ribosomal RNA
Rfam family: Bacterial small subunit ribosomal RNA
Source: RNAcentral